UAUUAGAGCAACCUCGAUUAAUGGUUUCAGA
Molecule: non-coding RNA, 31 nt
Filed under: Rattus norvegicus (Norway rat)
Lineage: Eukaryota; Metazoa; Chordata; Mammalia; Rodentia; Muridae
Source: RNAcentral